Molecule: ribosomal RNA, 646 nt
Filed under: uncultured Lachnospiraceae bacterium
Lineage: Bacteria; Bacillati; Bacillota; Clostridia; Lachnospirales; Lachnospiraceae
Description: bacterial SSU rRNA
Rfam family: Bacterial small subunit ribosomal RNA
Source: RNAcentral
AACGAGCGAGAGAGAGCUUGCUUUCUCAAGCGAGUGGCGAACGGGUGAGUAACGCGUGAGGAACCUGCCUCAAAGAGGGGGACAACAGUUGGAAACGACUGCUAAUACCGCAUAAGCCCACGGCUCGGCAUCGAGCAGAGGGAAAAGGAGCAAUCCGCUUUGAGAUGGCCUCGCGUCCGAUUAGCUAGUUGGUGAGGUAACGGCCCACCAAGGCGACGAUCGGUAGCCGGACUGAGAGGUUGAACGGCCACAUUGGGACUGAGACACGGCCCAGACUCCUACGGGAGGCAGCAGUGGGGAAUAUUGCACAAUGGGGGAAACCCUGAUGCAGCGACGCCGCGUGGAGGAAGAAGGUCUUCGGAUUGUAAACUCCUGUUGUUGAGGAAGAUAAUGACGGUACUCAACAAGGAAGUGACGGCUAACUACGUGCCAGCAGCCGCGGUAAAACGUAGGUCACAAGCGUUGUCCGGAAUUACUGGGUGUAAAGGGAGCGCAGGCGGGAAGACAAGUUGGAAGUGAAAUCCAUGGGCUCAACCCAUGAACUGCUUUCAAAACUGUUUUUCUUGAGUAGUGCAGAGGUAGGCGGAAUUCCCGGUGUAGCGGUGGAAUGCGUAGAUAUCGGGAGGAACACCAGUGGCGAAGGCGG